AUCAGCUGUUACCUGCAGCUGAUGAGCUCCAAAAAGAGCGAAAACACUUAGGUCCUGUAGUACUGACCUAGGAGUGU
RNAcentral lists this non-coding RNA (77 nucleotides) under Balearica regulorum gibbericeps (East African grey crowned-crane). The record is from RNAcentral. Lineage: Eukaryota; Metazoa; Chordata; Aves; Gruiformes; Gruidae.